RNAcentral lists this ribosomal RNA (254 nucleotides) under uncultured bacterium. Its description in RNAcentral is "partial 16S ribosomal RNA". It matches the Rfam family "Bacterial small subunit ribosomal RNA", at positions 524 to 776 of the family's 1533-position model. The record is from RNAcentral.
UACGGGGGGAGCAAGCGUUGUUCGGAUUUACUGGGCGUAAAGGGCGGGUAGGCGGCCACCGCAAGUCAGUUGUGAAAUCUCUGGGCUUAACCCAGAAAGGUCAACUGAUACUGCGGGGCUAGAGUGCAGAAGGGGCAACUGGAAUUCUCGGUGUAGCGGUGAAAUGCGUAGAUAUCAAGAGGAACACCUGCGGCGAAGGCGGGUUGCUGGGCCGACACUGACGCUGAGGCGCGAAAGCCAGGGGAGCGAACGGG